Molecule: unclassified non-coding RNA, 331 nt
Filed under: soil metagenome
Description: partial contains 5.8S ribosomal RNA, internal transcribed spacer 2, and large subunit ribosomal RNA
Rfam family: 5.8S ribosomal RNA (bases 1-120)
Source: RNAcentral
GAUGAAGAACGCAGCGAAAUGCGAUAAGUAGUGUGAAUUGCAGAAUUCCGUGAAUCAUCGAAUCUUUGAACGCACAUUGCGCCCCCUGGUAUUCCGGGGGGCAUGCCUGUUCGAGCGUCAUUUCACCACUCAAGCCUCGCUUGGUAUUGGGCAACGCGGUCCGCCGCGUGCCUCAAAUCGACCGGCUGGGUCUUCUGUCCCCUAAGCGUUGUGGAAACUAUUCGCUAAAGGGUGCUCGGGAGGCUACGCCGUAAAACAAACCCAUUUCUAAGGUUGACCUCGGAUCAGGUAGGGAUACCCGCUGAACUUAAGCAUAUCAAUAAGCGGAGGA